Molecule: transfer-messenger RNA, 365 nt
Filed under: Enterobacteriaceae (enterobacteria)
Lineage: Bacteria; Pseudomonadati; Pseudomonadota; Gammaproteobacteria; Enterobacterales
Also listed under: 1 other name
Description: GCA-012562765 sp012569925 Standard tmRNA
Rfam family: transfer-messenger RNA
About the family: Bacterial tmRNA, also known as 10Sa RNA or SsrA, is named for its dual tRNA and mRNA-like properties. Its role is to liberate the mRNA from a stalled ribosome.
Source: RNAcentral
GGGGCUGAUUAUGGAUUUGACAAAGUUAUAAAACUUUAAGAGCAUGUCAAGGAACGGUAGGCCUUGUAAAAAAACCGUACAAUAUAGUUGCAAAUAAUGAAAAAUAUGCUUUAGCAGCAUAAAAAACUGCAGGAAGCCCUGUUUCUUAUUAUUUUUCUCUUUGAUAAAAAGUAAAUAGGUCAUAAAAAAAAGAGAUCGUAUAUAAUUGGUCUUAAAAUUAUAUACUAAAGUAAUUAUUAGACUAUAUAAUAUAAAACUUGGUUUUAUCAGUUUAUAUUAAGAAAUUUUUAUAAGAUAAAACUAAACAUGUAGUUCUGAAAGUGUAGUAAUUUUGGACGGGGGUUCGAAUCCCCCCAGCUCCAAUA